AAAGACUUUAAUCAACUGGCGGAUGCUUAGUGAAGAAAAAAGACACUCGAAGUCCACGUGUUCUAAUCGGGAGUCCAGGGGCCUGCACAGCUGGAUCACCUGAAGGAGAGACGACACCUGUCAGGUAUGAAGAUGCCAAAGUACCACCAGUGGAACAUUCUAGCCCACGAUCAACCUGAGAAACCAAAGUCGUUGCAGAAUUACCCAGCUAAUGUGUUUCUGCAGUGCAGAUUGCUCCAGUGAAACUAGUAAAAGAAACAGCACCAUCACUUGAACUGACAAGGAGAGGAGGAGGCCUAUAAGGAGCCACUUACUACAGAAGCAAAUUCAAUAAGUGAAUUAUGGUUUAAGAGAAAUCGAAUGCUUAGGAACAAACGUGAAGCUUUCCCUUU
Molecule: long non-coding RNA, 392 nt
Organism: Mobula hypostoma (lesser devil ray)
Lineage: Eukaryota; Metazoa; Chordata; Chondrichthyes; Myliobatiformes; Myliobatidae
Exons: 3
Source: RefSeq, a predicted model, not a curated record